GACGAACGCUGGCGGCGUGCCUAACACAUGCAAGUCGAGCGGGGACUUGGGUGCUUGCACCUGGGUUCUAGCGGCGGACGGGUGAGUAACGCGUGAGCAACCUGCCUCAAACUGGGGGAUAACGCAUCGAAAGAUGUGCUAAUACCGCGUAAGACCACGCUACCACAUGGUAGAGGGGUCAAAGGAGCAAUCCGGUUUGAGAUGGGCUCGCGUCCGAUUAGCUAGUUGGCGGGAUAACAGCCCACCAAGGCGACGAUCGGUAGCCGACCUGAGAGGGUGAUCGGCCACAUUGGAACUGAGAUACGGUCCAG
Molecule: ribosomal RNA, 311 nt
Filed under: uncultured bacterium
Lineage: Bacteria
Description: bacterial SSU rRNA
Rfam family: Bacterial small subunit ribosomal RNA
Source: RNAcentral